This 393-nucleotide ribosomal RNA is filed under the name uncultured bacterium. Its description in RNAcentral is "partial 16S ribosomal RNA". It matches the Rfam family "Bacterial small subunit ribosomal RNA", at positions 523 to 918 of the family's 1533-position model. The record is from RNAcentral.
AUACGGAGGAUGCGAGCGUUAUCCGGAUUUAUUGGGUUUAAAGGGAGCGUAGGUGGGAUAUUAAGUCAGCUGUGAAAGUUUGGGGCUCAACCUUAAAAUUGCAGUUGAUACUGGUUUCCUUGAGUACGGUACAGGUGGGCGGAAUUCGUGGUGUAGCGGUGAAAUGCUUAGAUAUCACGAAGAACUCCGAUCGCGAAGGCAGCUCACCGGGCCGGAACUGACACUGAUGCUCGAAAGUGCGUGUAUCAAACAGGAUUAGAUACCCUGGUAGUCCGCACAGUAAACGAUGAAUACUCGCUGUUUGCGAUACACGGUAAGCGGCCAAGCGAAAGCGUUAAGUAUUCCACCUGGGGAGUACGCCGGCAACGGUGAAACUCAAAGGAAUUGACGGGG